GGUUAAGCGACUAAGCGUACACGGUGGAUGCCCUGGCAGUCAGAGGCGAUGAAGGACGUGCUAAUCUGCGAUAAGCGUCGGUAAGGUGAUAUGAACCGUUAUAACCGGCGAUUUCCGAAUGGGGAAACCCAGUGUGUUUCGACACACUAUCAUUAACUGAAUCCAUAGGUUAAUGAGGCGAACCGGGGGAACUGAAACAUCUAAGUACCCCGAGGAAAAGAAAUCAACCGAGAUUCCCCCAGUAGCGGCGAGCGAACGGGGAGCAGCCCAGAGCCUGAAUCAGUGUGUGUGUUAGUGGAAGCGUCUGGAAAGGCGCGCGAUACAGGGUGACAGCCCCGUACACAAAAAUGCACAUGCUGUGAGCUCGAUGAGUAGGGCGGGACACGUGGUAUCCUGUCUGAAUAUGGGGGGACCAUCCUCCAAGGCUAAAUACUCCUGACUGACCGAUAGUGAACCAGUACCGUGAGGGAAAGGCGAAAAGAACCCCGGCGAGGGGAGUGAAAAAGAACCUGAAACCGUGUACGUACAAGCAGUGGGAGCACAGAGCAAUCUGUGUGACUGCGUACCUUUUGUAUAAUGGGUCAGCGACUUAUAUUCUGUAGCAAGGUUAACCGAAUAGGGGAGCCGAAGGGAAACCGAGUCUUAACUGGGCGUUAAGUUGCAGGGUAUAGACCCGAAACCCGGUGAUCUAGCCAUGGGCAGGUUGAAGGUUGGGUAACACUAACUGGAGGACCGAACCGACUAAUGUUGAAAAAUUAGCGGAUGACUUGUGGCUGGGGGUGAAAGGCCAAUCAAACCGGGAGAUAGCUGGUUCUCCCCGAAAGCUAUUUAGGUAGCGCCUCGUGAAUUCAUCUCCGGGGGUAGAGCACUGUUUCGGCAAGGGGGUCAUCCCGACUUACCAACCCGAUGCAAACUGCGAAUACCGGAGAAUGUUAUCACGGGAGACACACGGCGGGUGCUAACGUCCGUCGUGAAGAGGGAAACAACCCAGACCGCCAGCUAAGGUCCCAAAGUCAUGGUUAAGUGGGAAACGAUGUGGGAAGGCCCAGACAGCCAGGAUGUUGGCUUAGAAGCAGCCAUCAUUUAAAGAAAGCGUAAUAGCUCACUGGUCGAGUCGGCCUGCGCGGAAGAUGUAACGGGGCUAAACCAUGCACCGAAGCUGCGGCAGCGACGCUUAUGCGUUGUUGGGUAGGGGAGCGUUCUGUAAGCCUGUGAAGGUGUGCUGUGAGGCAUGCUGGAGGUAUCAGAAGUGCGAAUGCUGACAUAAGUAACGAUAAAGCGGGUGAAAAGCCCGCUCGCCGGAAGACCAAGGGUUCCUGUCCAACGUUAAUCGGGGCAGGGUGAGUCGACCCCUAAGGCGAGGCCGAAAGGCGUAGUCGAUGGGAAACAGGUUAAUAUUCCUGUACUUGGUGUUACUGCGAAGGGGGGACGGAGAAGGCUAUGUUGGUACGGGCGACGGUUGUCCCGGUUUAAGCGUGUAGGCUGGUUUUCCAGGCAAAUCCGGAAAAUCAAGGCUGAGGCGUGAUGACGAGGCACUACGGUGCUGAAGCAACAAAUGCCCUGCUUCCAGGAAAAGCCUCUAAGCAUAAGGCUGAGGCGUGAUGACGAGGCACUACGGUGCUGAAGCAACAAAUGCCCUGCUUCCAGGAAAAGCCUCUAAGCAUCAGGUAACAUCAAAUCGUACCCCAAACCGACACAGGUGGUCAGGUAGAGAAUACCAAGGCGCUUGAGAGAACUCGGGUGAAGGAACUAGGCAAAAUGGUGCCGUAACUUCGGGAGAAGGCACGCUGAUAUGUAGGUGAAGUCCCUCGCGGAUGGAGCUGAAAUCAGUCGAAGAUACCAGCUGGCUGCAACUGUUUAUUAAAAACACAGCACUGUGCAAACACGAAAGUGGACGUAUACGGUGUGACGCCUGCCCGGUGCCGGAAGGUUAAUUGAUGGGGUUAGCGGUAACGCGAAGCUCUUGAUCGAAGCCCCGGUAAACGGCGGCCGUAACUAUAACGGUCCUAAGGUAGCGAAAUUCCUUGUCGGGUAAGUUCCGACCUGCACGAAUGGCGUAAUGAUGGCCAGGCUGUCUCCACCCGAGACUCAGUGAAAUUGAACUCGCUGUGAAGAUGCAGUGUACCCGCGGCAAGACGGAAAGACCCCGUGAACCUUUACUAUAGCUUGACACUGAACAUUGAGCCUUGAUGUGUAGGAUAGGUGGGAGGCUUAGAAGUGUGGACGCCAGUCUGCAUGGAGCCGACCUUGAAAUACCACCCUUUAAUGUUUGAUGUUCUAACGUUGACCCGUAAUCCGGGUUGCGGACAGUGUCUGGUGGGUAGUUUGACUGGGGCGGUCUCCUCCUAAAGAGUAACGGAGGAGCACGAAGGUUGGCUAAUCCUGGUCGGACAUCAGGAGGUUAGUGCAAUGGCAUAAGCCAGCUUGACUGCGAGCGUGACGGCGCGAGCAGGUGCGAAAGCAGGUCAUAGUGAUCCGGUGGUUCUGAAUGGAAGGGCCAUCGCUCAACGGAUAAAAGGUACUCCGGGGAUAACAGGCUGAUACCGCCCAAGAGUUCAUAUCGACGGCGGUGUUUGGCACCUCGAUGUCGGCUCAUCACAUCCUGGGGCUGAAGUAGGUCCCAAGGGUAUGGCUGUUCGCCAUUUAAAGUGGUACGCGAGCUGGGUUUAGAACGUCGUGAGACAGUUCGGUCCCUAUCUGCCGUGGGCGCUGGAGAACUGAGGGGGGCUGCUCCUAGUACGAGAGGACCGGAGUGGACGCAUCACUGGUGUUCGGGUUGUCAUGCCAAUGGCACUGCCCGGUAGCUAAAUGCGGAAGAGAUAAGUGCUGAAAGCAUCUAAGCACGAAACUUGCCCCGAGAUGAGUUCUCCCUGACUCCUUGAGAGUCCUGAAGGAACGUUGAAGACGACGACGUUGAUAGGCCGGGUGUGUAAGCGCAGCGAUGCGUUGAGCUAACCGGUACUAAUGAACCGUGAGGCUUAACCUU
RNAcentral lists this ribosomal RNA (2986 nucleotides) under Escherichia coli. RNAcentral's name for it is "23S ribosomal RNA". It matches the Rfam family "Bacterial large subunit ribosomal RNA". Lineage: Bacteria; Pseudomonadati; Pseudomonadota; Gammaproteobacteria; Enterobacterales; Enterobacteriaceae. The record is from RNAcentral.